UACGUAGGGUGCAAGCGUUGUCCGGAAUUAUUGGGCGUAAAGAGCUCGUAGGCGGUCUGUCGCGUCGGAUGUGAAGAUCCAGGGCUCAACCCUGGACCUGCAUUCGAUACGGGCAGACUAGAGUUCGGCAGGGGAGACUGGAAUUCCUGGUGUAGCGGUGAAAUGCGUAGAUAUCAGGAGGAACACCGGUGGCGAAAGCGCUCGUCUGGCCCAAUACUGACGCUGAUGCGCGAAAGCUAGGGGAGCAAACGGG
Molecule: ribosomal RNA, 253 nt
Filed under: uncultured bacterium
Lineage: Bacteria
Description: partial 16S ribosomal RNA
Rfam family: Bacterial small subunit ribosomal RNA
Source: RNAcentral